CAGCUCCGAUUCAACCCCUAGCCUGGGAACCUCCAUAUGCCGCGGGAGUGGCCCAAGAAAUAGCAACAAUAACAACAACAACAACAACAACAAAGACAAAAGACAAAAAAAAAAAUGCACUGAAGAACAGGGAAAGGGUUUAAGCAGGGGAGUAGUGCAAUCAGAUUGGCUCAAUCUGCUGGGACUGGGGUUAAAAAGAAGCACAAGCUGAGGCUUGGAGAUCAACUUGGGGGUGGGGAGUGUUUUAUCUAAUGGGACCUGGUUCUGAAAUAGAGGCAGGAAGAAAGGACAGUAGAGGAUGUUUGCCGAGUGAAGCAGGAGGUCAAGUGGACAGCAUGGGGGCAGCUGCAGCAUGUGAUGAGCAGAGAGAGGGAAGGCCCCUGGGGCCAGGUGGAUGGUGUGGAUUAGGAAAGGCUGGAGCAGGUUUGAGGCACAUUAAAUCUGAGGUGCCCAAGGGGUAGGAUGGGAAGGUCCCUGAUAUAGUUGUUCCCCCCAACUUGGGCAGCAGAGAAAGGCUAGGAGCUAUCAGUGCAGGUAAUUGGGGCCAUGGGAACCAUGGGGUCCACUCUGCCUACAUUUCUAGCCCAGCAACAGAGAGAGGCUCUUACUGGUUGUUAAACAGCAGAACCAUUGCAAUAUCACCAGAUCCCUCUGGGACCCCUGGGGAACAUUGUGCAAACCAGGACAUGGAUGCCCAGAGGCAGGAAAGCACUGGCUCUAGAACUCUGACCCAGAACUCCUGACUCCCUCUCAGCUUCUACCUUCACUGGGCCCCUUCAGGCUGCCCAUCCAUGGCCACACAGACAUGCAAAACUGCUCAAGUGGACCCCACUUGUGCAUCUAUGGGUACCAUGUUCCCCCACCCCCGGCAGAUGACAUCACCCUUAGCCUGGGGUCUCUUCCAUCAGGCCAUUUCCCAGAGUGGCACUGCAGUACUCAGAAUCUUAUCACUCCUGACCCAGUGAAGGUGGCCAAGGUAGGGACCUCCUCUCCCCCAGGGUCCAGCAAGGAGAGGCAGGAUAAGGGCACCCCCGAGCACAUCCUCUCUUCACAGAAGAUUGCCCGUCUGGCAGGUUGCAACCACAGCAGCACAAAGAUUCUGGUAGACUGCUCGAGGGCACGAUCAGAGACCGAGAUGAUGCGUAUGUCCAAGAAGAUGGUAGGUGGAAGUUCCUUCCAGCUCUCUGACCCAGCUGCCUGCAAACAACUCUUCUGACAUGAUACCCAGACCACCCCAGGGACCCUGACUCAGGAGCACAUUGGGGAGACUCCCUUUAACUCUAGUCCGCUUCUCUUCCCAAAGAGAUUCUUCCACCUGCACUCCCAUGAAGACCCGGAAGAGAUGAACAGGCUCCAUUCUGUAAUCUGAGCAGUUAUUGAACAUCUACUGGGCGCCAGGUAUUUAGGAUACUCGGUAAACUAUUUAGGCCAAAGUCUUUUGCCCGUGGGGCUGGGGUUCCAGUGAGGAGAGAUAAUAAACCCUACAAAUAAAUGAAUAUUCACCUCUGUAGGGAGUGAUAAGUGAAUAGCAACAAUAGGAGCAGGACAAGGAGGCUGGGCAUGUGGGGAGGGAUGGGGUUUUCUUUUUUCUUGUUUUUUGUAUUUUUUUUUCAGGGCCUGACCCAGGCUCAGGUUGCACCUGUGCCCUACCUUUUGGGUGUCAACAACCCAGAGUUCAGUUGGUUCUUGCCUUUUUUGGCAGAUGAGCUACAGCUCAGAGAGGUUGAGUGAGUUGCCCCAGGUCACGUGGCUAAUGAAUGGCAUGGACAGGAUUCAAAUCUGCUCCCUUGGUUCUGAAGCCCAAGCUCUUUACCCAGCUUGAUGCAGGAAGGAGAAGGUGCUGAGCCUCUGGAUGAUGAAAUACUGGGCCAACUCUGCCAGCACAGGGUGAGUCUGGGCCCCUGACUCAUCUGGGCAGUCAUUCUAAACCUGAUGACCAGCUGUUUCAGAUACUUGUCCUUGCAUGUCCCACAGAAAAUGUGUGAUCAACCCAAGCAGAAUGUCCCAUCUUUCCCUAGUCAGUCACCAGGUCCUCGAUGUCCCUAGAAUAGGUUCCUCUUUGUCCCAUGACCACACUCUUCACUCACUCAAGCACUCCACAGUCACUGUCAAUGCUCUCUCAUGCCCAGCUCAAUACUGGGAGCUGGAGUUCAAGGCUAUCACAGACAUGACCCCCUUCUCCAGAGGCUUGUUAAUGUUUAACAGAAACAUCAGGGGAGUUCCCAUCGUGACUCAGCAGUUAACGAACCCAACCAGUAUCCAUGAGGACUCGGGUUCAAUCUCUGGACUCCUUUGAUGGGUUAAGGAUCCAGUGUUCCCAUGAGCUGUAAGGUAGGUCUCAGGUGCAGCUCAGAUGCCACGUUGCUGUGGCUGUGGCGUAGGCUGGCAGCUGUAGCUCUGAUUUGACCCCUAGCCUGGGAACCGCCACAUGCCUCAGGUGUGGCCCUAAAAGCAAAACAAACAAACAAAAAACAUCAAAUUACAAUCUGGUUUAGUGAGGAUUGUGUUGCGGGAUCAGAGGCACUUUGAGAGCAUCAAGGGGUGUCUGACCAAGCUGGGCUUUGGAGGGGUGGGGGGGGUUCCCUGGCAGAGAUGCCUAGUUCCCCAUCUCCACAUUCUCUCUGCAUUCUGUCCAUCUUCCUAUGACACUCAAGGGAUCUUUCUGAAUUAUCACCUCUUCAAACUUGGCAUGGCUUCCCUCUGCUCCCAGCUAAAGUCCCAUCCCCUUAGCUUGGCACAAAAUUUUUUAAAACACUUCCUGUUUCAACUCCUCUCCGGAUCCAUCCUCUUCACACAUUCCGUGUUUUUACCUAACCCUGUACUUGCGCUUCCUCCCAAAGCCCUGGGCCUUCAUACCUCCAACCCUUUGCCCAUACUGUUCCCUCUGCCUGGAAGGUGCCUCUUUGCUAUACGCUUUCCUCUUCUUUCUUGAAGAUCUAAGUAUCAUCUCUGUAAAGCCUUCUUGGACCCCCAACUCCCAAGGCAAGGUGAAUGAGGGAAGGGUGAGAGAAGGAGGCAAGAUGAGGCAAGGUGAAUGAGAGAAGGGUGAGAGAAGGAGGCAAGAUGCACAGGAAUAAUCCUCUCUUCUGGGCAGAAACCCCAAUGGUGGGAAGCUGCCCCACUGGCUAUGUUACAACAAGGAUGAGAAGUACUUGCAGCUGGAUUUAACCACGAUGGGGGUGUGAAGCUUAAGGAGGAGAAAAUGGCCUUUUGGAUGAGGCUGCACCAGCACUAAGGACUGAGAAGCAGGGCAGUUCUGAGGCUGGCUAUGCAGGAGGGAGUCUUAGGGGUUGUCCCACCUCCCAGGCCUUGAGGAGAUUAGCCAUAGACACAUCUGGGACAAGCAUCUAGGCUCCCUGUUGCUUCAGUCUAGAGCCAGAGAUUUAGCCUUUGUUUGGGGCCCUGAACCACCCCCUUUAGCCUGACAUGCCAGAAUGCCCACCUAUCUCACUGACCAUCAGUUAGUCCAGGCCCUUUCACUGCCCUACUGUGCACAGCUACUCAGACUCAGAACAAAUGCUUCUCCCCCUUCUCCAAAUCCUCCCACCCAUCAAGGUCUACUUAAAGCCACUUCUUAUGGGAAGUCCACCCAGACUGCCACCGCUCCUAUCAUUGCACCUAGCUUGCUAUUUACCAUUUAAUCCUGUGCAACUUUAUGCCUGUUCCCAUUGGCCUGAGGCCUUGGGCAGGUUAUAUGUUACAAGGAGUGAAGCUUUGAUAGCUUGGAAUCUUCUGUUCCCUCCAUACCCAUUUCCCCAGGGCCCCUCCAAAGCCUGGACGCAGGAAUGAUCCUCAAUAAGAGCAUAUGACUUGCCCUGAAUGUUUCCAUCUGUCAGAUGGUUGGGUGAAGUAGAUAGUUUCUCAAUGGGAGACCAUGGAGGAAGGGAGCGCUGCCACCUGCUCCCUGUGAGGCUAAGCCUCCUCUGCUCACACAGUCAAGGGGAGCUGCAGCAGAGUCGCCUGGCCUGCAGAACACUUGGCUUUUUUCCUUGUUGUCUCAAGUGCACCCCUCAGGACAUCCACAUUCUGAGCUCUCUGUCCAUUGGAUUAGGUCUUGGUGUUGCAUCCAGACUCCUCACUCUCUGGUGUAUCUAGCAACCUGACCUGGGCACACCCCAGCCCGUCCCACAGGUUUUUGUUUGGUUUUGGUCUCCCGCCUUCCUUCCUUCUUUCCUUCCUUUCUAGGGCCACAUCUGCAGCAUGUGGAAGUUCCCAGGCUAGGGGUCCAAUCGAAGCUGCAUCUGCCAGCCUAUGCCACGGCCACAGCAACUCAGGAUCUGAGCCGCAUCUGAGACCUACCUCACAGCUCAUGGGAACACUGGAUCCUUAACCCACUGAGUGAGGCCAGGGAUCGAACCCACAUCUUCAUGGAUACUAGUUGGGUCCCUAACCCCCUGAGCCACAACAGGAACUCCCGUUUUGGUUUCUUUGUGGGGUUUUUGAGUGCUCAAGUAUGCCUACCACAAAAUGUACCAUUUUAACAAUUUUAAUUUCAGUGACAGUGAGUAUGGUCACAUUACCAUCACUACCAUCCAUCUUCAGAACUUUUUCAUCAUCCCAAACUGAAACCCUGUAUCCAUUAAACAAUAACUCCCUAUUUCCACUCAUCCCCAAACUCUGGUACCCACUCUUCUACUUCCUAUCCUAUAAUUUGUGUAUUCCAGGUACCUCAUAUAAGUGGAAUCACACAAUAUUUGUCCUUUUUUGUCUGGCUUAAUUCACUUAGCAUAUCUUCAAGGUUCAUCCACAUUGUAGCAUAUGACAGAAUUCUAUUCCUUUUUAGGACUGAAUAAUAUUCCAUUGUGUGUACAUACCACAUUUUGUUUUGGUUUUGAAUGACUUUUAUUUUUUCCAUUAUAAUUGGUUUGCAGUGUUCUGUCAAUGUUCUACUGUACAGCAAGGUGGCCCAGUCACACAUACAUAUAUACAUUCUUUUUUUCACAUUAUCAUGCUCCAUCAUAAGUGACUAGAUAUAGUUCCCAGUGCUAUACAGCUGGAUCUCAUUGCUUAUUCAUUCCAAAGGCAAUAGUUUCUAUCUAUUAACCCCAGAUUCCAAGUCCAUCCCACUCUUUCCCCCUCCCCCUGGGCAACCACAAGUCUGUUCUCCAAGUCCAUGAUUUUCUUCUCUGUGGAAAGGGUCAUUUGUGUUGUAUAUUAGAUUCCAGAUGUAAGUGAUAUUGUAUGGUAUUUUUCUCUUUUUGGCUUACUUCACUUAGUAUGCGAGUCUUUAGUUCCAUCCAUGUUGCUGCAAAUGGCAUUAUUUUGUUCUUUUUGAUGGCUGAGUAGUAUUCCGUUGUGUAUAUAUACACCACAUCUUCUUAAUCCAGUCGUCUGUCGAUGGACAUUUGGGUUGUUUCCCUGUCUUGGCUAUUGUGAAUAGUGCUGCAAUGAACAUACAAGUGCAUGUGUCUUUUUCCACAUUUUGUUUAUCCAUUUAUAUGUUUAUGGAUAUUUGCCUUGUUCCCACCUUUUGGUCAUUGUGAAAAAUGCUUAUGAACAUUAGUGUAGCAUACCAGAGAUUUUUAUGUCCCAAACUACAAAGUUGACUAGGGUCUUUAUUUUUAGGGGUUUCCUGAGUAUCUGAGAUAACUAGAGGCUGCAAAGACCCAUGUAAUAGGGGGCACCUGAUACUUCAUACCCCAGCAUUUUAGGCCCCAAAGCAAAAGGAUGGUUGGAGGAGUGGGGAGAACCCCUAUCAAGCAAAAGUUUAUCUUCACAACAAUGUUGUCACAUGGAUUUCAUUAAUCCUAUUCUACCAAUAAAGAAAUCAA
Molecule: long non-coding RNA, 5771 nt
Filed under: Sus scrofa (pig)
Lineage: Eukaryota; Metazoa; Chordata; Mammalia; Artiodactyla; Suidae
Description: lncRNA (ENSSSCG00050015414.1)
Source: RNAcentral